Long non-coding RNA from Mytilus californianus (California mussel), 2379 nucleotides. RefSeq lists it as uncharacterized. Lineage: Eukaryota; Metazoa; Mollusca; Bivalvia; Mytilida; Mytilidae. The record is from RefSeq and is a predicted model, not a curated record. The transcript is spliced from 4 exons.
UUAACUCUUUCUUCUUGUCAAAUCACGAAGUCUUUUCAAACAAAUGAAACUCAUGUAGGCGCACCGAGUCAGUUGAAUUUCACCUUCAAAUCUAACCUUUUUGUGAUUUGAAUUAAUUUGAAAUUCAUGGGAGAGAGACAGUCAGAAAAGGAUAAUACUAAUACGCAUAUGAUCUAUCAAAUUAUGUGCGAAAGACUCAUUAUACAAGUAUGCCUAGCUCUGAUAAUGAUCACCAUAGUAGCAAGGCUUUCUUAUGGUUCAUUAUGUACAGACAUUUGCUGUUAUGGAAGGAAUGACACAUGUCAAUCUUGUAAUGGUAGUGACUGUUGUAUGUGUGAUCAAUAUUGUCUUUCAUCAGGCGAUUGCUGUCUAGAUUUUAUUCUGUGUAUAAACAGUACACAAAGUAAGUAAAAACCCUUUAAAAGUAAACACCACUAUUUAGACCGUGGCUAUUCUUCUGGGUAUCCGGAAAAAUAGACACUCCGUAACGGUAUGAUUUGUUAAUUAUUUUGCGUUUUUUGUUUGUUUGUUAUAUUUUGAGGUUAAUUCGGAGGCAGAUCUAUGAUUGUUUGUGUUUAAUUUAUACUCAACUUAUAAAGACUGCACGACAUUUAGAGCUUGAUAUAUCGUAUAGGUACCUGUCUAUUGCUGAGGACUUUACACUUCCCUCUACAUAUCUUUUGGAUAUUUUAGUCGUUGGGUUGCUGUGUCGUUGACAUUAUUCAAUCACAUUGAGUUAUUUUAUUUUUGAAGUUAUUUUUAAUAUGCUUACAUUUCAGUCGGAAAAUAUUAUAAAUGUAUCUUAUGAUCAAUGCGGAAUUGAAAUAAAGUUAUAGAUUAUUCCAUGAGAACGACAUGUUUAGUUAGUUUAGUUUCAGAAAAAAUAUAUACAAAGGAAUUAAAAAAUGUAUUUCAUGUAAAUGUUUAAGACAUUUAAAGUAGUCUUAAACCUUUCCGACAUAUACACGUUACUUGGGCUAUUUUAUGUUAUUAUUAUUGUAAAUAUUGUAUAUGUAUUGCUUUAUAAUAAUCGAUUAACCGCUUGCUUGCUUGUAAUUAUUUGUGUUGAUUUACACAUGCUCAUAUUAUCAUUAUUACUACAAUGUUUCAGAGCAUCAUACAUAACAGAACCAUCUGAUUAUCUAAGUUUAAGAUAGAUUUAAUUAUCUACAUACAAAUUUAUUCUAUUUUUUUAAGUAUAAAAACGAUAAGCAUUGUAGAGAUGACAACGACUGAUACAUAUAUAUUUUAUUUUUGUAUAAAACUUGACAUCUAUUAUCGCACAUGCUCUCCUAUGGCGUGUCAAACGUUGCAAUGUUCACAAAAAAUAAAAUAUAUGUUCUUGAAAAGAAAUAAUUGUUCAUAAAAAUUAAAUGUAUGUUCAUAAAGAUAAAACAUAUAUUAAAAAAAUAAAAAAAAUGUGUUUAUAAAAUAAUAUAUAUAUAUAUAUAUGCAUUGAAUUAACUAUAUGUUGACUUCAAUAAAAAAUAUACAUGCAUAAAAAAUGCAUUUUAAGUUACUGUAUGAAGCUUCAUACAAAAUGUGCAUCUGUCCACGCUUUAACACCCAAAUAAAAUUACAAAACGAAACAUUCAAUUCUUAAAUGAAAUUUGGAAAGUAUGCACACAAUUAUGUAAAAGUCACAUUAUUCCUUCAAUUUUUUUAGUCAAUUUUUUAUCGUUUUAUUCAUAUUCUAUUUGUCUUUUGAGAAUACUCCACUCGAGAACUAAACAUGGUGAAUGAUUAUGACAAGUGGAAUAUGAUGUUGCUUUCAUUCAAAUACUCAUAAGAAGCAAUAGACCAUCGACAAGAAAACGGACAAUCCUAUUCAAUUACGACCGGAGUGGAAUGCACUUUAUCAUGAGUGGGGAUCGAACUUGCGACCUCGAUAUUGACAGUCACAACUUCAGUGUUAUUCACUGUAAAUGAACUACCUAGACCACUCAGCCACCGAGGCCCUCAUCAUAUGCACACAUAUAGUUAUAUGGCAUUUAAACGCACAUCAGUAGAGACUAUAGCUAAACGACAACGUUUGCGGUAGUUCCUGGUUCAGACCAACACAGUAGUGAAAACAGUUGGAAUUCAUAACUCUUAUCGGAGUAGGAGAAAACGUGCGUUUGCAGAUCGAAUCACUUCCUCUAUGAGUGCAUUAUCCUUCAUCCGGUUAGAAAGUCAAAUCCAGUAGCAGUAGCCAGGAACGAGACUAAAUCGGCAAUGAUAUUGGAUGAAUGUACAGGGCCUUUGGUAGACUUUGAUUGUAAUAAGUUGAGAAACUAGAAGCUGUAACAUAAUCUAGUGAUGGUGACCAUAUAACCUUGCUGAAGUAGUCAUUGGAUUUAGACUACACAUCUUUUGAAUAAAAAACCAACACUUUAUUAA